GACGAACGCUGGCGGCGUGCUUAACACAUGCAAGUCGAACGGUGAACGAGGGAGCUUGCUCCCUCCGGAUCAGUGGCGAACGGGUGGGUAACACGUGAGCAAUCUGCCCCGAACUCUGGGAUAAGCGUUGGAAACGACGUCUAAUACCGGAUACGACGCGGGAGGGCAUCCUCUCCGCGUGGAAAGAACUUCGGUUCGGGAUGAGCUCGCGGCCUAUCAGCUUGUUGGUGAGGUAACGGCUCACCAAGGCGACGACGGGUAGCCGGCCUGAGAGGGUGACCGGCCACACUGGGACUGAGACACGGCCCAGACUCCUACGGGAGGCAGCAGUGGGGAAUAUUGCACAAUGGGCGCAAGCCUGAUGCAGCAACGCCGCGUGAGGGACGACGGCCUUCGGGUUGUAAACCUCUUUUAGCAGGGAAGAAGCGAAAGUGACGGUACCUGCAGAAAAAGCACCGGCUAACUACGUG
This 470-nucleotide ribosomal RNA is filed under the name uncultured bacterium. RNAcentral describes it as "partial 16S ribosomal RNA". It matches the Rfam family "Bacterial small subunit ribosomal RNA", at positions 28 to 507 of the family's 1533-position model. The record is from RNAcentral.